AACGCGAAGAACCUUACCAGGUCUUGACAUCCCUCUGACCGGUCAGUAACGGGACCUUUCCUUCGGGACAGAGGAGACAGGUGGUGCAUGGUUGUCGUCACCUCUUGUCGUGAGAUAUUGGGUUAAAUCCCCCAACGAGAGCACCCCUCUUGCUUAUUUUUGCCAGCGUUAAGCUGGGCACUCUAGGGAGACUGCCGGGGAUAACCUGGAGGAAGGGGGGGAUGACGUCAAAUCAUCAUGCCCCUUAUGAUCUGGGCUACACACGUGCUACAAUGGGGAGUACAAAGGGAAGCAAAACUGUGAGGUGGAGCAAAUCCCAAAAAGGUCAUCUCAGUUCGGAUUGUAGUCUGCAACUCGCCUACAUGAAGCUGGAAUCGCUAGUAAUCGCGAAUCACAAUGUCGCGGUGAAUACGUUCCCGGGUCUUGUACACACCG
RNAcentral lists this ribosomal RNA (435 nucleotides) under uncultured bacterium. Its description in RNAcentral is "bacterial SSU rRNA". It matches the Rfam family "Bacterial small subunit ribosomal RNA", at positions 958 to 1392 of the family's 1533-position model. The record is from RNAcentral.